AAAGAUGCGGUGAUAAGAAGAGUACGAUUGAAUGACUUCAUAGAGAGUUCGUGGCUGGUGGAAGCGAAUAGGAAAAACAAUCAGAAGAUGGUCUUUGAGCAUUUGCGGACGAAUAAUCUGCAACGGAGAGAGCCCGAUAGCGCAAUCCAGUUUGUUCUAACGAACUGACCAAGUGUUUUUGCGUGAGCAAAAUCAAAUGUAAGGUGGUACCACGAGAUAAUCGUCCUUUCA
RNAcentral lists this non-coding RNA (231 nucleotides) under Enterococcus sp. RNAcentral's name for it is "T-box sequence". It matches the Rfam family "T-box leader". From Rfam's summary of the family: Uncharged tRNA acts as the effector for transcription antitermination of genes in the T-box leader family. T-boxes are found upstream of many aminoacyl-tRNA synthetase genes and some amino acid biosynthetic genes usually in Gram-positive bacteria. The anticodon of a specific tRNA base pairs to a specifier sequence within the T-box motif, and the NCCA acceptor tail of the tRNA base pairs to a conserved bulge in the T-box antiterminator hairpin. The record is from RNAcentral. Lineage: Bacteria; Bacillati; Bacillota; Bacilli; Lactobacillales; Enterococcaceae.